GCUAUGGUUCUGGUCCACUGCCUUGUC
RNAcentral lists this non-coding RNA (27 nucleotides) under Rattus norvegicus (Norway rat). Lineage: Eukaryota; Metazoa; Chordata; Mammalia; Rodentia; Muridae. The record is from RNAcentral.